This 283-nucleotide unclassified non-coding RNA is filed under the name root metagenome. Its description in RNAcentral is "partial contains small subunit ribosomal RNA, internal transcribed spacer 1, and 5.8S ribosomal RNA". The record is from RNAcentral.
UUUCCGUAGGUGAACCUGCGGAAGGAUCAUUGUCAUGACCCAGACCAAAUCAAACCGCGCACGCGUCAUCCAAUCCUCCGGUGAUGGCACCGUCCGUCGCUCGGCCAAGUCCUCGACCGCCUCCCCUCCUCAGAGUGGGGGCUCGGGGUAAAAGAACCCAUGGCGCCGAAGGCGUCAAGGAACACUUUGCCUAACCCGAGGGCAUGGCUAGCUUGCUAGUCGUCCCCCGUGUUGCAAAGCUAUUUAAUCCACACGACUCUCGGCAACGGAUAUCUCGGCUCUC